CUACGGGCGGCAGCAGUGGGGAAUAUUGGACAAUGGGGGAAACCCUGAUCCAGCAAUGCCGCGUGUGUGAAGAAGGCCUUAGGGUUGUAAAGCACUUUCAGUAGUGAGGAAAAGUUUAAGGCUAAUACCCUUGAACCCUGACGUUAACUACAGAAGAAGCACCGGCUAACUUCGUGCCAGCAGCCGCGGUAAUACGAAGGGUGCAAGCGUUAAUCGGAUUUACUGGGCGUAAAGCGCGCGUAGGCGGUUUGAUAAGUCGGAUGUGAAAGCCCCGGGCUCAACCUGGGAAUUGCAUUCGAUACUGUCAGGCUAGAGUAUGGUAGAGGGAAGUGGAAUUCCAAGUGUAGCGGUGAAAUGCGUAGAUAUGUGGAGGAACACCAGUGGCGAAGGCGACUUCCUGGCCCAAUACUGACGCUGAGGUGCGAAAGCGUGGGGAGCAAACAGGAUUAGAUACCCCCGUAGUC
RNAcentral lists this ribosomal RNA (464 nucleotides) under uncultured bacterium. Its description in RNAcentral is "partial 16S ribosomal RNA". It matches the Rfam family "Bacterial small subunit ribosomal RNA", at positions 339 to 795 of the family's 1533-position model. The record is from RNAcentral.